CAAGAGGUCAACGAUUAUAGUUCCUUAGAAACACUUGGUGAUUCUUUUCUAAAAUACUCUGCUAGUCAACAACUUUUCAAGACCAAUCAAAAUUAUCGUGAGGAUACUCUUACCGAAGAAAGGAAGAAGAUGAUUUCAAAUGUUGCCUUGUUUGAGUAUGGGUGUAGCCGCAGACUUCCGGGUUUCAUACGAAAAGGAGCUUUUGAUCCCAAACAGUGGGUUAUACCUGGUGAUAAGUCAAAAGAGUCUGUCGCUAAAAUAAGAGUUGGUUUCUAGUAAAACAAGAGUAUAUGUUAGUGGAACAAGAGAAAUGAAAUACAAGGUUCUCGCUGAUGAUGUUGAGGCAGUAAUCGGUGCCUUCCUUAGCAUUGGAGAUGAAGAAGCUGCUAUAUCCUUUAUGAAUUGGAUUGGCAUCAAGGUUGACACUAUUAUUAUACCAUAUGAGAGCCACCUUAGCUUUGCCCCGGAGAAGCUUGUAAAAGUCAACCUUUUAGAAUCCCUAUUAAACUACUCAUUCAAAGACCCUACCCUCUUAGUAGAAGCUCUGACCGAUGGUUCUUAUAAGCUGCCAGAAAUUCCAACAUGUUAUAAUUACCAGUUUUGGACUACAUCAUCAAACUGCAUUUUUACAGAGAAUAUCCUGACAA
Molecule: long non-coding RNA, 647 nt
Organism: Gastrolobium bilobum
Lineage: Eukaryota; Viridiplantae; Streptophyta; Magnoliopsida; Fabales; Fabaceae
Exons: 3
Source: RefSeq, a predicted model, not a curated record